AGGUGGAGUUUCACCAUGCUAGCCAGGCUGGUCUUGAACUCCUGACUUCAGGUGAUCUGCCCGCCUUGGCCUCCCAAAGUGUUGAGACUACAGGCAUGAGCCACCGCGCCUGGCCACUGAUGCUUAUUUUUUAAGGCGGUAAUAGUACAUGAGGAAGUGAAAAUAUGAGGAAGUACAAAUCUCAUGUUCAUUCCCUGCCUCUGUUACUGACAUGCUGUCCAUUUUCUAAUUCUAAUCCCUGCCUGCCUCUCCGCCCUCACGUUUUGGGGGAUGGACACAGUUGCAGGGGAAAUGGAAGACAUUACUGAUCAUGGACAUCGAGGGUGGAGAGAGAAACUUGGGCAUCAAACUAGCCCUGAGAACUGUACCAAUGAGGUUGAAAACAUUUGUAAACCAUUGCCUAGUAAAAGCAGUCACUGAGAUCAGCGUUUUGGAUGAUUAAUAUCUCUUAAAAACAUUUUAUAAUUCCCUCAACAAAGCUCUUGCAAACUGUGGUAGAGGCUGUUAGUGCUCUCCAAUAUCCAUGUUUUCUGCCCACUCCUUGGAAUCCAGCAGGAUUGGUCAAUAGUGGCCUAGCUAUAGUGGUCAACGUCCCCUAUGAUUGGGUGCAACCAUGAGACUGAGUUCUGGCCAAUGGAUUGUGGCAGGAGUGAUGUGUUCCAGAUUUUCCCUCAUGAAACUUCCUCAUGCUUGACUUGUGCUCUCUCUUUUCCUAUCUACCCGCUGAAUGGAGAUAACUUUGAGUACCUAGAGAAGGAUGGAGCUACAAGAUGGAAUGAGCCUGGGACCCUGAAUGGCCACGUGUAGCAGAGCCUCUCUGCUGACCUGGAACAUUAACCUCAGACUCUUUUGAGUUGUGCAACCAUCACCACAAUGAAUUGUAGAAUAUUUUCAUCACUCCAAACAGAAACCCUGCAUCUAUGAGUUGUCACUCUUCAACUUGCCUCUGCCACUCCUUUCAACUAUUAC
This 969-nucleotide long non-coding RNA is filed under the name Pan troglodytes (chimpanzee). RNAcentral describes it as "long non-coding RNA NONPTRT018326". Lineage: Eukaryota; Metazoa; Chordata; Mammalia; Primates; Hominidae. The record is from RNAcentral.